AGGACGAACGCUGGCGGCGUGCUUAACACAUGCAAGUCGAACGCUGAAGCCUAGCUUGCUGGGUGGAUGAGUGGCGAACGGGUGAGUAACACGUGAGUAACCUGCCCUCUUCUUUGGGAUAACGCCCGGAAACGGGUGCUAAUACUGGAUAUUCACUGAUCUUCGCAUGGGGGUUGGUGGAAAGGUUUUUUUCUGGUGGGGGAUGGGCUCGCGGCCUAUCAGCUUGUUGGUGGGGUGAUGGCCUACCAAGGCUUUGACGGGUAGCCGGCCUGAGAGGGUGACCGGGUCAACGACUUGGGACUGGAGAUACGGCCCAGACUCCUACGGGAGGCAGCAGUGGGGAAUAUGCACAAUGGCGAAAGCCUGGAUGCAGCGACGCCGCGUGAGGAUGGAGGCCUUCGGGUUGUAAACCUCUUUCGCUUCAUGGUCAAGCCGCAGCUUGGUUGUGGUGAGGUAGUGGUAAAGAGCGCCGCGUAACUACGUGCCAGCAGCCGC
RNAcentral lists this ribosomal RNA (495 nucleotides) under uncultured soil bacterium. RNAcentral describes it as "bacterial SSU rRNA". It matches the Rfam family "Bacterial small subunit ribosomal RNA", at positions 26 to 518 of the family's 1533-position model. The record is from RNAcentral.